Molecule: transfer RNA, 71 nt
Filed under: Lachnospiraceae bacterium
Lineage: Bacteria; Bacillati; Bacillota; Clostridia; Lachnospirales; Lachnospiraceae
Description: tRNA-Lys
Source: RNAcentral
ACCGACAUAGCUCAAUUAGUAGAGCAACCACCUUUGGUAGUAGGUUAUCGGUGCAAGUCCGAUUGUCGGUG